RNAcentral lists this ribosomal RNA (909 nucleotides) under Curvularia cactivora. RNAcentral describes it as "partial large subunit ribosomal RNA". It matches the Rfam family "Eukaryotic large subunit ribosomal RNA", at positions 38 to 961 of the family's 3401-position model. Lineage: Eukaryota; Fungi; Ascomycota; Dothideomycetes; Pleosporales; Pleosporaceae. The record is from RNAcentral.
GCAUAUCAAUAAGCGGAGGAAAAAGAAAACCAACAGGGAUUGCCCUUAGUAACGGCGAAGUGAAGCGGCAACAGCUCAAAUUUGAAAUCUGGCUCUUUCAGAGUCCGAGUUGUAAUUUGCAGAGGGCGCUUUGGCUUUGGCAGCGGUCCAAGUUCCUUGGAACAGGACGUCACAGAGGGUGAGAAUCCCGUACGUGGUCGCUAGCUAUUGCCGUGUAAAGCCCCUUCGACGAGUCGAGUUGUUUGGGAAUGCAGCUCUAAAUGGGAGGUAAAUUUCUUCUAAAGCUAAAUAUUGGCCAGAGACCGAUAGCGCACAAGUAGAGUGAUCGAAAGAUGAAAAGCACUUUGGAAAGAGAGUCAAACAGCACGUGAAAUUGUUGAAAGGGAAGCGCUUGCAGCCAGACUUGCUUGCAGUUGCUCAUCCGGGCUUUUGCCCGGUGCACUCUUCUGCAGGCAGGCCAGCAUCAGUUUGGGCGGUGGGAUAAAGGUCUCUGUCACGUACCUCUCUUCGGGGAGGCCUUAUAGGGGAGACGACAUACCACCAGCCUGGACUGAGGUCCGCGCAUCUGCUAGGAUGCUGGCGUAAUGGCUGUAAGCGGCCCGUCUUGAAACACGGACCAAGGAGUCUAACAUCUAUGCGAGUGUUUGGGUGUCAAGCCCGAGCGCGUAAUGAAAGUGAACGGAGGUGGGAACCCGCAAGGGCGCACCAUCGACCGAUCCUGAAGUUUACGGAAGGAUUUGAGUAAGAGCAUGGCUGUUGGGACCCGAAAGAUGGUGAACUAUGCUUGAAUAGGGUGAAGCCAGAGGAAACUCUGGUGGAGGCUCGCAGCGGUUCUGACGUGCAAAUCGAUCGUCAAAUUUGGGCAUAGGGGCGAAAGACUAAUCGAACUAUCUAGUAGCUGGGUCUGCG